UACGGGGGGGGCAAGCGUUGUUCGGAAUUACUGGGCGUAAAGGGCUCGUAGGCGGCCAACUAAGUCAGACGUGAAAUCCCUCGGCUUAACCGGGGAACUGCAUCUGAUACUGGAUGGCUUGAGUUCGGGAGAGGGAUGCGGAAUUCCAGGUGUAGCGGUGAAAUGCGUAGAUAUCUGGAGGAACACCGGUGGCGAAGGCGGCAUCCUGGACCGAUACUGACACUGAGGAGCGAAAGCCAGGGGAGCAAACGGG
RNAcentral lists this ribosomal RNA (253 nucleotides) under uncultured bacterium. Its description in RNAcentral is "partial 16S ribosomal RNA". It matches the Rfam family "Bacterial small subunit ribosomal RNA", at positions 524 to 776 of the family's 1533-position model. The record is from RNAcentral.